Molecule: unclassified non-coding RNA, 268 nt
Filed under: uncultured fungus
Lineage: Eukaryota; Fungi
Description: partial contains 5.8S ribosomal RNA, internal transcribed spacer 2, and large subunit ribosomal RNA
Rfam family: 5.8S ribosomal RNA (bases 1-52)
Source: RNAcentral
AACGCACAUUGCGCCCGCGAGUAUUCUCGCGGGCAUGCCUGUUCGAGCGUCAUUUCAACCCUCAAGCCCCCGGGCUUGGUGUUGGGGAUCGGCGGAUCGCGGCCUCCGGGUCGCGGCGCCGGCCCCGAAAUCCAUUGGCGGUCUCGCUUGCAGCCUCCCCUGCGUAGUAGUAACAUCUCGCACCGGAGCGCGGGCGCGGCCACGCCGUUAAACACCCCACUUCUGAAAGGUUGACCUCGGAUCAGGUAGGAAUACCCGCUGAACUUAA